UGCGGGGGUACAGGUUAGUCGAGGUAAUUUGUAAAGUGACUAUGCAUAGAUAAUAAACAGCGAGUAGCGGCAGUGUAAAAACAAAGUGGGGGGAAAUGUAAAUAGUCCGGGAGGCCAUUUGAUUAUCGUUGUCGGUGAUCAGGCCUACCACUGUUGUGUCAUCAGCAAGUUUAAUGAUGGUGUUGGGAGUACAGGAGGGGACUAAGCACGCACCCCUGAGGGGCCCCCGUGUUGUUGCAUACCCUUACCACCUGACGGCGGCCUGUCAGGAAGUCCAGGAUCCAGUUGCAGAGGGAGGUGUUUAGUCCCAGGGUCAUUAGCUUAGUGAUGAGCUUUGUGUGCACUAGGAUGUUGAACGCUGAGCUGUAGUCAAUAAACAGCAUUCUUACAUUGGGGUUCCUUUUGUCCAGGUGGGAAAGGGCAGUGUGGAUUGUGAUUGAGAUUGCAUCAUUUGUUGAUCUGUUGGGGUGGUAUGUGAAUUGAAGUGGGUCUAGGGUUUCCGGGAUGAUGGUGUUGAUGUGAGCCAUGACCAGCCUUUCAAAGCACUUCAUAGCUACCAACGUGAGUGCUACGGGGCUGUAGUCAUUUAGGACACACAUCUCAACCUCCACAUAUUUGAGUAUAUCCAUCCAUUCAGUCUGGUGGGUCAUACUGGUCAGAGGGAGCUGGGGUGCAGACACCAGACUGUGGGAGUGAAAGUUGUGGGUGUGUUUGGAAGGACGGUGGACUCAGUGGAGGAUAUCCCAGCCAAUUGGCAGUGUUGGCACUGCUACUUUCUACCUGAUGGGACGAGUUGAAGGUGGAGCAUGCCUCGUACCUGUGGAAGCACCUGGAACUCUGUGCCAUGAUGGCCGACUUCUUGCAAUUCCUGUUACUACGAAAACCGAGCUAUGUCUUCAUGUUCGCCCAUGAGGACAUCUCUCCCUUCGCCUCCCGGCAACCCUUCAAUACCUUCAAUACCUCCUCACCUUGAGGACACACACUGUGCCUGCGUCUCAAUAGUCUUGUAGGUUCCUCCUACUGGCACUUUAGUGAGGACAAUACUGUUCUGGUUAGCACUUGUCAUUAGUAUGUAGAGGCCCUCCAUCAUCAAAUGAAUGCUUUUAUGUAUCUUUUUUGUAUUUUAUUUUGUGAUACUGUUUUUACUUUCUACUGUUUUUGUAUGAGCUGCAAUGAAACAAAUUCCAAUCAACUGUUGAUAUGCCAGUCGCAAGAGUUACAGUUGUCAGUUGGUGUGAAUAAAAUAUUAUUAUUAUUAUUUCAUGUCUUGUAUAUUAACUUUAUCCUCGAGUGUGAUAAUUUCAGUAACUGCUACCUUGCUUUGGCUCUGAUGUGAUCACCCCAUAAAUCUGUAAGAAUGAAAUGCUAUGUAUGUAUGAUCUGGUUUCUGAAUGGAAUACUUUGAUGAGUGUCCUUUCAACUGGCCUUUACCUAAUUUGUCAAGACAACAUGGUUUUGUUGUCCUUUAAACUUUAAUCCAUACCUCUGAUUCAACCACAAAUGUGUCACACCCUGAUCAGUUUCACCUGUCCUCGUUAUUGUCAGCACACCUUCCAGGUGUCGCUUGUUUUCCCCACUGUAUUUAUCCCUGUUUCCUGUCUCUCUGUG
This 1608-nucleotide long non-coding RNA is filed under the name Salmo salar (Atlantic salmon). RNAcentral's name for it is "lncRNA (ENSSSAG00000118907.1, ENSSSAG00020008269.1)". The record is from RNAcentral. Lineage: Eukaryota; Metazoa; Chordata; Actinopteri; Salmoniformes; Salmonidae.